AUUGAACGCUGGCGGCAUGCUUUACACAUGCAAGUCGAACGGUAACAGCACUUCGGUGGCUGACGAGUGGCGCACGGGUGAGUAAUACAUCGGAACGUGCCUAGUAGUGGGGGAUAACUACUCGAAAGAGUAGCUAAUACCGCAUGAGAUCUAAGGAUGAAAGCAGGGGACCUUCGGGCCUUGCGCUACUAGAGCGGCUGAUGGCAGAUUAGGUAGUUGGUGGGAUAAAAGCUUACCAAGCCGACGAUCUUUAGCUGGUCUGAGAGGACGACCAGCCACACUGGGACGGAGACACGGCCCAGACUCCUACGGGAGGCAGCAGUGGGGAAUUUUGGACAAUGGGCGCAAGCCUGAUCCAGCAAUGCCGCGUGCAGGAUGAAGGCCUUCGGGUUGUAAACUGCUUUUGUACGGAACGAAAAGCCCUCUUCUAAUACAGGAGGGUCAUGACGGUACCGUAAGAAUAAGCACCGGCUAACUACGUG
This 482-nucleotide ribosomal RNA is filed under the name uncultured bacterium. Its description in RNAcentral is "partial 16S ribosomal RNA". It matches the Rfam family "Bacterial small subunit ribosomal RNA", at positions 30 to 507 of the family's 1533-position model. The record is from RNAcentral.